ACGGGAGGCAGCAGUGAGGAAUAUUGGUCAAUGGGCGAGAGCCUGAACCAGCCAAGUAGCGUGCAGGAUGACGGCCCUACGGGUUGUAAACUGCUUUUGCGCAGGGAUAAAAAAGCCCACGUGUGGGCUCUUGCAGGUACUGCGUGAAUAAGGAUCGGCUAACUCCGUGCCAGCAGCCGCGGUAAUACGGAGGAUCCGAGCGUUAUCCGGAUUUAUUGGGUUUAAAGGGUGCGCAGGCGGCUUUUUAAGUCAGUGGUUAAAUCGUGACGCUCAACGUCAUCACGCCAUUGAUACUGGAGAGCUUGAUUGCGGUCGAGGUUUGCGGAAUUCGUUGUGUAGCGGUGAAAUGCAUAGAUAUGACGAAGAACACCGAUUGCGUAGGCAGCAGACCAGGCCGUAAAUGACGCUCAUGCACGAAAGUGCGGGGAUCGAACAGGAUUAGAUACCCUGGUA
RNAcentral lists this ribosomal RNA (453 nucleotides) under uncultured Marinilabiliaceae bacterium. RNAcentral describes it as "partial 16S ribosomal RNA". It matches the Rfam family "Bacterial small subunit ribosomal RNA", at positions 341 to 792 of the family's 1533-position model. Lineage: Bacteria; Pseudomonadati; Bacteroidota; Bacteroidia; Marinilabiliales; Marinilabiliaceae. The record is from RNAcentral.